This is a non-coding RNA of Hydra vulgaris (swiftwater hydra), 343 nucleotides long. The record is from RefSeq and is a predicted model, not a curated record. Lineage: Eukaryota; Metazoa; Cnidaria; Hydrozoa; Anthoathecata; Hydridae.
UAAUAAUUCCUUUAAUUUGAUUGAAUUCUAUUUUAUGAGAUAUUUUACUAAUAUUUUAAUUGCUUUGAAUUAUUUUUAAUUUUCAAUUACCUGUGUGUUUUUGUUAUAGCCAAUACAGUUUAAGCAAUCCCAGCAAGAGUAGCUGCUGCAACACCCUUAUCUGUAAAUGAAAGACACGAAUGAGAACUUAUACAUAUUGAAAGAAACGUUUACAAGUAGGCACGGGCAAAUUUGAAUGUAAAAAAAUAGUUUUUAAGACUAUAUGUCUCAAUUGUUGUAAAUGUGUACCUGUUUUUAUGUGAUAAUAUAAUAUUUUGACAAAAUUGCAAUCUCAUAAACAUUA